UUCUAUGGCCAUACCACCCUGAAUGGGCUUGAUCUUGUCGGAUCUUGGGAGCUACGCAGGGCCUGGUUAGCACUUGGAUGGGAGGAAUGAGCAGGGCGUUCUGGGGC
Molecule: ribosomal RNA, 107 nt
Filed under: Microcebus murinus (gray mouse lemur)
Lineage: Eukaryota; Metazoa; Chordata; Mammalia; Primates; Cheirogaleidae
Source: RNAcentral